CCUACGGGAGGCUGCAGUGGGGAAUAUUGCGCAAUGGGCGAAAGCCUGACGCAGCGACGCCGCGUGCGGGAUGAAGGUCUUCGGAUCGUAAACCUCUGUCAGCAGGGAAGAACGGUCACUGUGCUAAUCAGCAGUGAAUUGACGGUACCUGCAAAGGACGCACCGGCUAACUCCGUGCCAGCAGCCGCGGUAAUACGGAGGGUGCGAGUGUUAAUCGGAAUUACUGGGCGUAAAGCGCUCGUAGGCGGUAGGUCAAGUCAAGGGUGAAAUCCCCGAGCUCAACGUGGGAACUGCCUUUGAAACUGGCAAACUGGAGGGUAGUAGAGGAUAGUGGAAUGCCAGGUGUAGGAGUGAAAUCCGUAGAGAUCUGGAGGAACAGCAGUGGCGAAGGCGACUAUCUGGCACAUAACUGACGCGGAGGAGCGAAAGCGUGGGUAGCAAACAGGAUUAGAUACCCUGGUAGUC
Molecule: ribosomal RNA, 465 nt
Filed under: uncultured bacterium
Lineage: Bacteria
Description: partial 16S ribosomal RNA
Rfam family: Bacterial small subunit ribosomal RNA
Source: RNAcentral